CGAAAUUAUUAUACGCGGCCGGCGGCUGUACCCCAAAGGUGUAGCAGUGACCACCAUCAAACUGACUGCUGACACUUCACUGUAACAUUGAACAAAAAUCCCAUUUUUAGGUUUUCUUCAAAUCUCCAUUAACGACCUUCAAUCUUGUAAAUCUUCAUUAACGACUUCCCCUGUGUUGAAUCCCUCAAUUGAUCACCAUUUGCAGUUCUCUUUCCUUCAUCAAUGGCUGGAGAAUCAGAAUCUGCUGCUGAACCUAACCCUAACACCCUCACCCCAUCAAAUCCCCCUUCUGCCGACGCCAUUAAUAUUGUACCUCUUCAAACUCAUUCACCACCCACCAAGCUACCUUCUCGACCCAGAAAAACUCGGAAGCUUUCCAAUACUGUUGAUCCCUGUUUACCCAAAACCCAGAUUUCCACCAUCGUACCAAGAAUUGUUUCUCGUUCACUUUCAUACGAAGGUGAGCUCGAAUCCGCCAUUAAUUACCUCAAAUCCUCUGACCCAUUACUCUCUCCAUUAAUUGAAACAUACCCACCUCCCACACUCGAACUUUUUCAACCCCCUUUUCUUGCUUUAACAAAAAGCAUUCUGUUUCAGCAGCUAGCGUAUAAAGCUGGGUCAUCGAUUUACACUCGAUUUAUAUCUCUUUGUGGUGGGGAAUCGAAUGUGGUGCCGGAUAUGGUUUUGGGAUUAACCCCACAACAGCUUCGUCAAAUUGGGGUUUCUGCUAGAAAAGCAAGCUAUUUACAUGACCUAGCAAGGAAGUAUCAAAAUGGGAUUUUGUCGGAUAAGUCGAUUGUGGAUAUGGAUGAUAAAUCGCUUUUUACAAUGCUUACUAUGGUGAAUGGAAUUGGGUCUUGGUCAGUUCAUAUGUUUAUGAUUUUUUCACUUCAUAGGCCGGAUGUGUUGCCGAUACAUGAUCUUGGUAUUAGGAAAGGGGUGAGAAUGUUAUAUGGUCUUGAGGAUCUUCCUAGGCCAUCACAAAUGGAUCAGUUGUGUGAGAAAUGGAAGCCUUAUAGGUCGGUAGCUUCGUGGUAUAUUUGGAGGUUUGUAGAGGCAAAGGGGGCGAAUUCGAAAGGCAAUGUGGUGGGAAAUUCUAAUGUUAGUUUACAGCAGCAGAUAUUGUCAAUGCAGCAGCAGCAACAACAACAACAUCAGCAGUUCUUGGAUCCUAUUAAUGGGAUUCUUAAUGUUGGGAGCUAAGUGAUUUAAGGGUCUAAGGAUGCGAACAACCAAGCUAAAUAAUUUAAGGGGCUAAGGAUGCAAACCAAGCUUAAGUAUGAAUCUGGUGGAAUUUAAGAGCUUGCUAAUUGGAAAAGAGCGGGUCCAAUGAAGACACACUAAGGCAUGUGCAUGGGACAGUAAUUGAAGUUCACAUGAUUGAGUUGAUAGUGGCUGUGAAGGCUUAAUUUUUUGGGAUAGUAAAUUGCUGUAAUGUUAGCCAUAGAUUGUCUACAUCUACUGAAAACUCAAGCUGAGAACAUUGUAAAAAUUCAUUUACUACGUUCAACAACUGAUGUUAAAACUCACGACAUGUUUAAGAUUAUAAGAUUAAAGAGUAUUUUGGUACGCUGUGUA
This is a non-coding RNA of Solanum lycopersicum (tomato), 1578 nucleotides long. Lineage: Eukaryota; Viridiplantae; Streptophyta; Magnoliopsida; Solanales; Solanaceae. The record is from RefSeq and is a predicted model, not a curated record.